Non-coding RNA from Myotis davidii, 45 nucleotides. Lineage: Eukaryota; Metazoa; Chordata; Mammalia; Chiroptera; Vespertilionidae. The record is from Rfam.
ACAAAGGCCCUUUUAAGGGCCACCAAAAAAUAAUAAAAUAAAAUA